GGCACACUUAGGUUUAAAAAGAAGAAAAUCAUCUGUAAUCUCAGAACUACAUGGUAAAUGCUAGAAAAACAAGCAAUACCAAGAAAAAUAACAGUUAAGACAAUUUUGUUAAAGCUUGUAGAGAAAAAGGAGGUCACAUGAAAACCCUCCAUGUGGCCUUUGUCUCUUCUUAGGUGGGCAUCAAUCUCCAGGACCUGAAGAGAAUUGAGGGAGGGAAGGGCUCCUCCAGGGGUCUAUAGCAACCUCAUAGAGGAGUUUCACCUUAAGGGAGAAAUUAAGAAUCCAGAUUUUGAAGUGAGUAGGCUCAGGAAAGAGAAAAGGAAUAGAUUAGUGUCUGAGUCCAGAAGGCAAAAAGGAUAGGUUUGUGUUGGGAGGGAGAAAGAAGGAGAGAGAGAGAGAG
Long non-coding RNA from Perognathus longimembris pacificus (Pacific pocket mouse), 400 nucleotides. RefSeq lists it as uncharacterized. Lineage: Eukaryota; Metazoa; Chordata; Mammalia; Rodentia; Heteromyidae. The record is from RefSeq and is a predicted model, not a curated record. The transcript is spliced from 3 exons.